Molecule: ribosomal RNA, 720 nt
Filed under: uncultured bacterium
Lineage: Bacteria
Description: bacterial SSU rRNA
Rfam family: Bacterial small subunit ribosomal RNA
Source: RNAcentral
UGCAGCGAYGCCGCGUGCGGGAUGAAGGCCUUCGGGUUGUAAACCGCUUUCAGGAGGGACGAAAAUGACGGUACCUCCAGAAGAAGCCCCGGCCAACUACGUGCCAGCAGCCGCGGUAACACKUAGGGGGCGAGCGUUGUCCGGAUUUAUUGGGSGUAAAGGGCUCGUARGCGGCUUGGAAAGUCGGUCGUGAAAACCCGGGGCUCAACCCCGGGACGCCGGUCGAAACUUCCAUGGSUAGUGUCCGGUARAGGUGAGUGGAAUUCUCGGUGUAGCGGKGAAAUGCGCWKAUAUCGAGAGGAACACCAGUAGCGAAGGCGGCUCACUGGGCCGGUACARACGCUGAGGAGCGAAAGCGUGGGGAGCAAACAGGAUUARAUACCCUGGUAGUCCACGCCGUAAACGUUGAAUACUAGGUGUGGCGGAUGUAUCCACGUCUGCCGUGCCGAAGCUAACGCAUUAAGUAUUCCGCCUGGGGAGUACGGCCGCAAGGCUAAAACUCAAAGGAAUUGACGGGGCCCCGCACAAGCGGCGGAGCAUGCGGCUUAAUUCGAUGCAACCCGAAGAACCUUACCUGGACUUGACAUCAUGGGUCUACCUGUGGAAACACAGGGUGCUUUGCGCCCAUGACAGGUGGUGCAUGGCUGUCGUCAGCUCGUGUCGUGAGAUGUUGGGUUAAGUCCCGCARCGAGCGCAACCCCUGUCCUAUGUUGCCAGCGG